UGGGGAAUCUUAGACAAUGGGCUCAAGCCUGAUCUAGCCAUGCCGCGUGAGCGAUGAAGGCCUUAGGGUUGUAAAGCUCUUUCACCGGUGAAGAUAAUGACGGUAACCGGAGAAGAAGCCCCGGCUAACUUCGUGCCAGCAGCCGCGGUAAUACGAAGGGGGCUAGCGUUGUUCGGAAUUACUGGGCGUAAAGCGCACGUAGGCGGGUAUUUAAGUCAGGGGUGGAAUCCCAGAGCUCAACUCUGGAACUGCCUUUGAUACUGGGUACCUAGAGUAUGGAAGAGGUGAGUGGAAUUCCGAGUGUAGAGGUGAAAUUCGUAGAUAUUCGGAGGAACACCGAUGGCGAAGGCAGCCUCCUGGGAUAACACUGACGCUCAUGCACGAAAGCGUGGGGAGCAAACA
Molecule: ribosomal RNA, 402 nt
Filed under: uncultured bacterium
Lineage: Bacteria
Description: bacterial SSU rRNA
Rfam family: Bacterial small subunit ribosomal RNA
Source: RNAcentral